RNAcentral lists this RNase P RNA (338 nucleotides) under uncultured Ruminococcus sp. Its description in RNAcentral is "Bacterial RNase P class A". It matches the Rfam family "Bacterial RNase P class A". From Rfam's summary of the family: Ribonuclease P (RNase P) is a ubiquitous endoribonuclease, found in archaea, bacteria and eukarya as well as chloroplasts and mitochondria. Its best characterised activity is the generation of mature 5'-ends of tRNAs by cleaving the 5'-leader elements of precursor-tRNAs. Cellular RNase Ps are ribonucleoproteins. The record is from RNAcentral. Lineage: Bacteria; Bacillati; Bacillota; Clostridia; Eubacteriales; Oscillospiraceae.
GCAGACUAUGCGGUAGCGGAAACGUUUUAGUUUAUGAGGAAAGUCCGGGCAUCACAGGACAGGAUAACUGCUAACGGCAGCCGAGGGCGACCUUAGGGCAAGUGCAACAGAGAUAUACUGCCUCUUCAUGAGGUGAUGGUGGAAAGGCGAGGUAAGAGCUCACCAGGGUACAGGAAACUGUACCGCUAUGUAAACCCUAUCCGAUGCAACGUCUAUUGGUGCUUUAUAUCUUAACGUCUGUCCGGCGGAUAUAAAGUAAUGGCGGCUUGAGCCUGCCGGCAACGACAGGAGUAGAUAAAUUACCGCACUCGACAGAACCCGGCUUAUCGGUCUGGUCA